GGAGAACUUGAUGACUGUCGAGUUUGUUGUUCACCUAGAUAGUUUAAUUAUUAGAGAGCGGGCUGAACCUCGAUCAAAUCUGAGUUACCUGUUUUAGCCGUGUCAAGUGUCUGACAAGGAAGUUGGUGAUUCAAAUCACUCCUACAAUUGUUCUCAUCAAAUACUGGACGCACAAGCUUCCUACGCUUGAAUGGCUUAUCAGCUGAAUCCUUAGCCACUGCAGUUUGAGAACUGUUUCCUUGUGCAUUCUGAAGGACUGUGUGUUCAUUAGCAUUUGUCUCUUCUUCUUUGUUUAAUUUAACAGUACUCUGUUCUGAAGUUCGAUUCGUCUCCCUCCUGCGCUUGAAAUCCACCAUUCUGGUCUCUGCCAGAAUAUGGUUCAUGGUUUCUUCAAGAACUUCAUUUGCACUUCCUUUGAGAACUCUCAUCAUUGAAUCAGCAGUCUGCUCUGCAUCAUUCUUGACAACUGAAGCAUGUUUUCCUGACCUAUUAGUUUCACCAGAACCAACUUUUCGGAUAAAUGGUUUACGGUUCAAUGGCUUUUUUGGUACAAUUUUCUGAUCCUCGUAUAACGAGUCCAUGAUUUCAUCAACUGUUGUAUCCAUAUAAUAAUGUUCAUCGAAGCUCAUACUAUAAUCA
Molecule: unclassified non-coding RNA, 639 nt
Filed under: Hevea brasiliensis (rubber tree)
Lineage: Eukaryota; Viridiplantae; Streptophyta; Magnoliopsida; Malpighiales; Euphorbiaceae
Source: RNAcentral